UGGGGAAUAUUGCACAAUGGGGGAAACCCUGAUGCAGCGACGCCGCGUGAACGAAGAAGUAUUUCGGUAUGUAAAGUUCUAUCAGCAGGGAAGAUAAUGACGGUACCUGACUAAGAAGCACCGGCUAAAUACGUGCCAGCAGCCGCGGUAAUACGUAUGGUGCAAGCGUUAUCCGGAUUUACUGGGUGUAAAGGGAGCGCAGGCGGUGCGGCAAGUCUGAUGUGAAAGCCCGGGGCUCAACCCCGGGACUGCAUUUGGAACUGCUGAGCUAGAGUGUCGGAGAGGCAAGUGGAAUUCCUAGUGUAGCGGUGAAAUGCGUAGAUAUUAGGAGGAACACCAGUGGCGAAGGCGGCUUGCUGGACGAUGACUGACGUUGAGGCUCGAAAGCG
This 389-nucleotide ribosomal RNA is filed under the name uncultured Roseburia sp. RNAcentral's name for it is "bacterial SSU rRNA". It matches the Rfam family "Bacterial small subunit ribosomal RNA", at positions 355 to 761 of the family's 1533-position model. The record is from RNAcentral. Lineage: Bacteria; Bacillati; Bacillota; Clostridia; Lachnospirales; Lachnospiraceae.